Molecule: ribosomal RNA, 492 nt
Filed under: uncultured bacterium
Lineage: Bacteria
Description: partial 16S ribosomal RNA
Rfam family: Bacterial small subunit ribosomal RNA
Source: RNAcentral
AGUGAACGCUGGCGGUAGGCCUAACACAUGCAAGUCGAACGGCAGCACAGUAAGAGCUUGCUCUUACGGGUGGCGAGUGGCGGACGGGUGAGGAAUACAUCGGAAUCUACUUUUUCGUGGGGGAUAACGUAGGGAAACUUACGCUAAUACCGCAUACGACCUACGGGUGAAAGCAGGGGAUCUUCGGACCUUGCGCGAUUGAAUGAGCCGAUGUCGGAUUAGCUAGUUGGCGGGGUAAAGGCCCACCAAGGCGACGAUCCGUAGCUGGUCUGAGAGGAUGAUCCGCCACACUGGAAAUGAGACACGGUCCAGACUCCUACGGGAGGCAGCAGUGGGGAAUAUUGGACAAUGGGCGCAAGCCUGAUCCAGCCAUACCGCGUGGGUGAAGAAGGCCUUCGGGUUGUAAAGCCCUUUUGUUGGGAAAGAAAAGCAGCAGGUUAAUACCCCGCUGUUCUGACGGUACCCAAAGAAUAAGCACCGGCUAACUUCGUG